This 1203-nucleotide ribosomal RNA is filed under the name Bacillus amyloliquefaciens. RNAcentral's name for it is "bacterial SSU rRNA". It matches the Rfam family "Bacterial small subunit ribosomal RNA", at positions 154 to 1343 of the family's 1533-position model. Lineage: Bacteria; Bacillati; Bacillota; Bacilli; Caryophanales; Bacillaceae. The record is from RNAcentral.
AAACCGGGGCUAAUACCGGAUGGUUGUUUGAACCGCAUGGUUCAGACAUAAAAGGUGGCUUCGGCUACCACUUACAGAUGGACCCGCGGCGCAUUAGCUAGUUGGUGAGGUAACGGCUCACCAAGGCGACGAUGCGUAGCCGACCUGAGAGGGUGAUCGGCCACACUGGGACUGAGACACGGCCCAGACUCCUACGGGAGGCAGCAGUAGGGAAUCUUCCGCAAUGGACGAAAGUCUGACGGAGCAACGCCGCGUGAGUGAUGAAGGUUUUCGGAUCGUAAAGCUCUGUUGUUAGGGAAGAACAAGUGCCGUUCAAAUAGGGCGGCACCUUGACGGUACCUAACCAGAAAGCCACGGCUAACUACGUGCCAGCAGCCGCGGUAAUACGUAGGUGGCAAGCGUUGUCCGGAAUUAUUGGGCGUAAAGGGCUCGCAGGCGGUUUCUUAAGUCUGAUGUGAAAGCCCCCGGCUCAACCGGGGAGGGUCAUUGGAAACUGGGGAACUUGAGUGCAGAAGAGGAGAGUGGAAUUCCACGUGUAGCGGUGAAAUGCGUAGAGAUGUGGAGGAACACCAGUGGCGAAGGCGACUCUCUGGUCUGUAACUGACGCUGAGGAGCGAAAGCGUGGGGAGCGAACAGGAUUAGAUACCCUGGUAGUCCACGCCGUAAACGAUGAGUGCUAAGUGUUAGGGGGUUUCCGCCCCUUAGUGCUGCAGCUAACGCAUUAAGCACUCCGCCUGGGGAGUACGGUCGCAAGACUGAAACUCAAAGGAAUUGACGGGGGCCCGCACAAGCGGUGGAGCAUGUGGUUUAAUUCGAAGCAACGCGAAGAACCUUACCAGGUCUUGACAUCCUCUGACAAUCCUAGAGAUAGGACGUCCCCUUCGGGGGCAGAGUGACAGGUGGUGCAUGGUUGUCGUCAGCUCGUGUCGUGAGAUGUUGGGUUAAGUCCCGCAACGAGCGCAACCCUUGAUCUUAGUUGCCAGCAUUCAGUUGGGCACUCUAAGGUGACUGCCGGUGACAAACCGGAGGAAGGUGGGGAUGACGUCAAAUCAUCAUGCCCCUUAUGACCUGGGCUACACACGUGCUACAAUGGACAGAACAAAGGGCAGCGAAACCGCGAGGUUAAGCCAAUCCCACAAAUCUGUUCUCAGUUCGGAUCGCAGUCUGCAACUCGACUGCGUGAAGCUGGAAUCGCUAGUAAUC